This is a long non-coding RNA of Mus musculus (house mouse), 1645 nucleotides long. RefSeq annotates it as predicted gene, 53505. Lineage: Eukaryota; Metazoa; Chordata; Mammalia; Rodentia; Muridae. The transcript has 3 exons. The record is from RefSeq and is a predicted model, not a curated record.
UUUAAUUUUAUUUUAUGUGCAUUGGUGUUUUGCCUACAUGUAUGUCAAUGUGAGGGUAUUGGAUCCUCCUGGAAAUGGAGGUAGAGACAGUUGUGAGCUACCAUGGGGGUGCUGGGAAUUGGGAAGAGUGCUCAACUGCUAAGCCAUCUCUCCAGCCACUGGAAAUUCUUUUUUUUUUUUUUUUUAGAUUGACAAAAUAGACACAAAUAAGUUUUUUUGUUUUGUUUGGUCUUUAAAGGCAGUGUUACUCUGUAGCCAGGCUAGACUAAAAUUUACUAUGUAGCUACUAUUUCACUCAGGUUAGCUUUGAACUCACAGCAAUCUUCCUGCCUCAGUCUUUCCAUUACUGGAUCACACGCAUGAGCUUCCAAGUCCAGUGUACAAUUAAUUUAAAAAAAAGAAUGUUCUUCAGUAUUUUCUUUGAUCUUAUUCUUGGGUUUAUUCAUCCAAACUCUCUGAAUUAUUUAAAGAAAUAAUCCAUCCUCUUAUGCAAAUUUGGCCCCAACUACCCACCACCAGGAAUCAAUACUGACAGUAUCAGUGGUUUAUAGCCACAAGCUGGGAGACUAACAUGAAAUUGUUCUGUGUAAGCAAUUCUGAUUAAAGUGCAUGUCACCUUCUGGAAGGGGAGACAAUAUACCCUCAGAGAAUGCCAGAACUUCCUUCACACAACUGGAAAUACACUCUUACUCACACCCACACAGCUUAUGAAAAGAUUGAGGUUUUUUUUUCCUUAAAAAAAAAUUCUAAGUUUCUUAAAGCAGAAUCUAUUAUCUGCACAAAGGCAAUCACUCAAUUUAAUUAGUUUAAGUACCACAACAUUCUCAGUGAAUCAGCAGCAGGCAUAUUUUGCGCGAGUCAGAUGCAUUUGGGCAACUGCAGGCAAAUGAGGUCAGAACCAGCACAAGGUGUCCCGGUGCAAUCAGAGAACCCAGCAAACCGAGCCCACAAAGAAGCGGGUCAACAGCACAGCAACGUGGGACAGCAUACAGGACUUUCCUCAGUUACCUCACAAGCAGCUUAGCUAGUUUCAGUAAAUAAUAGCUAUUUUGUCCCUGGGAAAAUGUCCCUUCCAUGCCUUAGCUAGCGACCCUGGUUGUACUUUCGUCAUAUUUCUAUCACCUGCACGAACAUGAAUAACUCAGCAGGGCUAGCUUGAUGACUAUGAAGAUAUCACAAAAUGUUGUCUUUAAAAGGGAAUCGAGACCAAGCAAGAGACAAAGCAGAAUUGGAGCGAACCUUCUUCUUGUGGAAAGAAAUUUCUUAACAAGAAUGAAGUUCAGACCAGCUACAGACCCUGGAAAGCGUCAAAAGAGUCAAAGAGGAAUCCAGGAAGGGAGAUGCCUGAACUGUGUUUAUAAAUCUACCCAAGUCACUGUCCUGCACAGGAAGAAAGCCAACUAGCAUCUCUCCCCUAAAGACCAAAAGAAUGGAUGGGCAUCUGAACUGUGGCCGGAGAGAGUUCACCUAGGCAAUGUUCAUUUCUCACCUUUAAAAACAAACAAACAACAAACAAACAAUCUUUGGAGAAACAGAACCUAGGCUUUUAACUACAUAACAUUCAACAGCACCCAGGAUGUGAGCACAAUUGCUCCACCUGUGAGAACCCAGAAAAUGUGGCAAUUUUCAAGAGACAAGACCAGUA